AUGCUGAAAGAAAUGGUGCUUGACAACAACUUAUUACAUGGACAACUGAGCCCUGCAAUUGCUCAGUUGCAGCAUCUCACCAAGCUGUCCAUAUCCGGGAAUUCCAUCUCUGGUGGCAUUCCUACAGAGUUGGGCAGUCUGCAGAACCUAGAGUUCCUGGACCUUCACAUGAACAGCCGAAAUGGAUCAAUACCAGCAGCUUUUCGUAAUCUGUCUCAGCUGUUGCAUCUUGAUCUAAGCCAGAAUAACCUCAGUGGAUUAAUAUUUUCUGGAAUAAGCUCGUUGGUGAACCUUAUGUCACUUGAUCUGUCCUCAAACAAUUUUGUGGGGCCAAUACCUAGGGAGAUUGGUCAAUUGGAAAACCUUCGACUGCUGAUUUUGGGCCAAAAUGCGUUCACCGCUAGCAUUCCAGAAGAAAUUGGUAAUCUGAAGCGGCUUCAAGUACUUCUGCUCCCUGAACGCAAACUCACAGGCACCAUCCCUUGGUCAAUCAGCGGUCUUGUAAUUCUGGAGGAAUUUGACAUAUCAGAGAACCACUUCGAUGCUGAACUCCCAACAUCAAUCGGUCUGCUUGGUAAUCUGACACAGCUGAUUGCGAAGAAUGCAGGGCUCAGGGGGAGCAUACCGAAAGAACUAAGUAACUGCAAGAAGAUUGCUCUCAUAAAUCUGUCAUUUAAUGACUUCACUGCUCCAUCCCUGAAGAACUUGCAGAACUGGAAACUGUUGUCUCUUUUUCUGUGGAAGGGAACAAACUAUCAGGCAAUAUUCCAGAUUGGAUAA
RNAcentral lists this ribosomal RNA (780 nucleotides) under Triticum aestivum (bread wheat). RNAcentral's name for it is "partial small subunit ribosomal RNA". The record is from RNAcentral. Lineage: Eukaryota; Viridiplantae; Streptophyta; Magnoliopsida; Poales; Poaceae.